GAUGAACGCUGGCGGCGUGCCUAACACAUGCAAGUCGAACGAGAAGCUAACUUCUGAUUCCUUCGGGAUGAUGAGGUUAGCAGAAAGUGGCGAACGGGUGAGUAACGCGUGGGUAAUCUACCCUGUUAAGUGGGGGAUAACCCUCCGAAAGGAGGGCUAAUACCGCAUAAUAUCUUCUCCUCUAAAAGAGGUAAAGAUUAAAGAUGGCCUCUAUACUAUGCUAUCGCUUCAGGAUGAGCCUGCGUCCUAUUAGUUAGUUGGUGGGGUAAUGGCCUACCAAGGCGACAAUGGGUAGCCGGUCUGAGAGGAUGUACGGCCACACUGGGACUGAGAUACGGCCCAGACUCCUACGGGAGGCAGCAGUGGGGAAUAUUGCGCAAUGGGGGGAGCCCUGACGCAGCGACGCCGCGUGGAUGAUGAAGGCCCUUGGGUUGUAAAAUCCUGUUCUGGGGGAAGAAAGCUUAAAGGUCCAAUAAACCCUUAAGCCUGACGGUACCCCAAGAGAAAGCUCCGGCUAAUUAUGUGCCAGCAGCCGCGGUAAUACAUAAAGGAGCAAGCGUUUAUCCGGGAAUUAUUGGGCGUAAAGAGCUCGUAGGCGGUCUUAAAAGUCAGUUGUGGAAAUUAUCAGGCUCAACCUGAUAAGGUCAUCUGAAACUCUAAGACUUGAGGUUAGAAGAGGAAAGUGGAAUUUCCCGGUGUAGCGGGUGAAAUGCGUAGAUAUCGGGAGGAACACCAGUGGCGAAGGCGGCUUUCUGGUCUAUCUCUGACGCUGAGGAGCGAAAGCUAGGGGAGCAAACGGGAUUAGAUACCCCGGUAGUCCUAGCUGUAAACGAUGGAUACUAGGUGUGGGAGGUAUCGACCCCUUUCUGUGCCGCAGCUAACGCAUUAAGUAUCCCGCCUGGGGAGUACGGUCGCAAGGCUGAAACUCAAAGGAAUUGACGGGGGCCCGCACAAGCGGUGGAGCAUGUGGUUUAAUUCGACGCAACGCGAAGAACCUUACCGGGACUUGACAUUAUCUUGCCCGUCUAAGAAAUUAGAUCUUCUUCCUUUCGGGGAAGACAGGAUAACAGGUGGUGCAUGGUUGUCGUCAGCUCGUGUCGUGAGAUGUUGGGUUAAGUCCCACAACGAGCGCAACCCUUGUGCCUAGUUGCUAACUUGUUUUACAAGU
RNAcentral lists this ribosomal RNA (1168 nucleotides) under uncultured bacterium. RNAcentral's name for it is "bacterial SSU rRNA". It matches the Rfam family "Bacterial small subunit ribosomal RNA", at positions 28 to 1134 of the family's 1533-position model. The record is from RNAcentral.